UUCUUUUUCAUGUAAUUCAAUUUGCAAAUCUUUAAUCAAUUGGCCAUAAUCAAAUUCAAAAUAUGAGGAAAAAAAAAAUAUGUAUGAACUCUGUCAUUAGCAUUUUCAUUAUCAUUUCUACGACCUCCUCCUCCGGAAUGUCUUUCAGGGACAGAAGCUUCCCUUGAUAAAUAUCUCUUCUUACGUCAAAACCAACACCCUC
This 202-nucleotide long non-coding RNA is filed under the name Vigna radiata. Its description in RNAcentral is "long non-coding RNA (VRAD_LNC011328)". The record is from RNAcentral. Lineage: Eukaryota; Viridiplantae; Streptophyta; Magnoliopsida; Fabales; Fabaceae.